Molecule: ribosomal RNA, 484 nt
Filed under: uncultured bacterium
Lineage: Bacteria
Description: partial 16S ribosomal RNA
Rfam family: Bacterial small subunit ribosomal RNA
Source: RNAcentral
AUUGAACGCUGGCGGUAGGCCUAACACAUGCAAGUCGAGCGGAUGAAGGGAGCUUGCUCCUGGCUUCAGCGGCGGACGGGUGAGUAAUGCCUAGGAAUCUCCCUGGUAGUGGGGGAUAACGUCCGGAAAUGGGCGCUAAUACCGCAUACGUCCUGCGGGAGUACGUGGGGGAUCUUCGGACCUCACGCUAUCACAUGAGCCUAGGUCGGAUUAGCUAGUUGGUGGGGUAAAGGCCUACCAAGGCGACGAUCCGUAACUGGUCUGCGAGGAUGAUCAGUCACACUGGAACUGAGACACGGUCCAGACUCCUACGGGAGGCAGCAGUGGGGAAUAUUGGACAAUGGGCGAAAGCCUGAUCCAGCCAUGCCGCGUGUGUGAAGAAGGUCUUCGGAUUGUAAAGCACUUUAAGUUGGGAGGAAGAGCAGUAGGUUAAUACCUUGCUGUUUUGACGUUACCAACAGAAUAAGCACCGGCUAACUUCGUG